AGUGAACGCUGGCGGUAGGCCUAACACAUGCAAGUCGAACGGCAGCACAGUAAGAGCUUGCUCUUACGGGUGGCGAGUGGCGGACGGGUGAGGAAUACAUCGGAAUCUACUUUUUCGUGGGGGAUAACGUAGGGAAACUUACGCUAAUACCGCAUACGACCUACGGGUGAAAGCAGGGGAUCUUCGGACCUUGCGCGAUUGAAUGAGCCGAUGUCGGAUUAGCUAGUUGGCGGGGUAAAGGCCCACCAAGGCGACGAUCCGUAGCUGGUCUGAGAGGAUGAUCAGCCGCACUGGAACUGAGACACGGUCCAGGCUCCUACGGGAGGCAGCAGUGGGGAAUAUUGGACAAUGGGCGCAAGCCUGAUCCAGCCAUACCGCGUGGGUGAAGAAGGCCUUCGGGUUGUAAAGCCCUUUUGUUGGGAAAGAAAAGCAGCAGGUUAAUACCCCGCUGUUCUGACGGUACCCAAUGAAUAAGCACCGGCUAACUUCGUG
Molecule: ribosomal RNA, 492 nt
Filed under: uncultured bacterium
Lineage: Bacteria
Description: partial 16S ribosomal RNA
Rfam family: Bacterial small subunit ribosomal RNA
Source: RNAcentral